RNAcentral lists this unclassified non-coding RNA (295 nucleotides) under Genlisea repens. Its description in RNAcentral is "ITS1". Lineage: Eukaryota; Viridiplantae; Streptophyta; Magnoliopsida; Lamiales; Lentibulariaceae. The record is from RNAcentral.
UCGGCCGUCCCCGUGAAAUCGACCUGCGGUCGUGUGCGCGCGCGUCGUGGACGCGGCCGCAUCCGUCGGGCGUCGCGCGACGGGGCCUUUUCUGCCGUUGGCCGCGUCGCGCUCGACUCCCUUCGUCCUCGGUUGUUUGUCGUACCGACGGACCGUAACAAAAGCCACGGCGCAGUAUGGGCGCCAGGGAAGAACCUGUGGAAAGCGGUCGGGAGUGUACGGGCGCCCGAAACCUCGCACGGCGGAGGGGCCGGCCCCGUAUAUUCCCCCGGUCGAUGAAAUCGUGUAGUCGUAC